CCGUGCACUUCCUUUUUCUGGUUGUUGUUCACUCUGAGGAGCUGCCAGACGGGGUGACAAGCCAAGGGCUUUUCGUCUUGUGGGAGCACUUGCCACACCUUGCGUGAGAACAUUUCUCAGAUCCAGCUCAUGGUUCCUGGAAUCUCAACUGCUAUGGGAAACAGGUGCCUGUCCCUGCUCUUAGGUCUCAGUGUCCUGCUGGCUCUGUCAGGAUCAGAAGCAAAGAAUUCCGGAGGUGAGUUUACUCGUUGUGAGUUGGGAUGUGGAACCUGCCUCCAGGGGAGAGCAGGAGCCCUUCUGGAGAGAACACCCAACCUCUGCUACUCUCUGCCAAUUCCUUGGGGCGCCCAAGCACUGUUACCCUUUCUUCAUCAUCAAUGUCACCACCCCCAUUUAUUAGCUCUUGCAUUGCACUGGGAUCAGUGCUGAGCAAAUUACAUGCACCAUUGCAUUAAAUCGUACUGACGUUCCUUCAAAGGAGGUUCUGACGUUAACCCCGCUGGAC
Molecule: long non-coding RNA, 505 nt
Filed under: Camelus dromedarius (Arabian camel)
Lineage: Eukaryota; Metazoa; Chordata; Mammalia; Artiodactyla; Camelidae
Description: lncRNA (ENSCDRG00005017311.1)
Source: RNAcentral